ACAGCUUGGGCUGACGGCUUCUACUGCCCUACUCUUGAGCAGACCAUAUCAUGGGCUUUUGACUAGUUUGAUGCUAUUGGGUCAGGGACUUCUGUUUGGUCCCUUAAAGAGGGUGGGGCCACCUGAUUCAAAUCAUGGCUGCCUGGAAGGUGCUCGGGGCAAUGCAGAUUUGGAGUCUGGCAUGUGCAAUGCCAAGAAAGCAGCUGGCACAGUGCUGGGCCAAGUCAUCACUGUUGCCAUUCUAAUGGCUCUUUUAUACCAACUGAACAUGUCAAUGAAUAACCAAGUGAUGUUCUGCAUGGGGGAGAAGGUGAAAGUGGCUCAGCAGUGUCCAACUCUUUGGGAUCCCAUGGACUGCAGGCGGCCAGGCUCCUCUGUCCAUGGAAUUCUCCAGGCAAAAAUACUGGAGUGGGUAGCCAUUCCCUUCUCCAGAAAGAAGCAACAAGCGGAAGUCUCUGGCCGAGUGGGGAGCUGAAAUCUGAACCUGCUCGUGGGGUCUGUUAGAACAGAGUUCGCUGUGACAAAGCAUGCGUCCCGCAUGGCCCCAUCUCCCAGCACGUCCUCCUCUGCUUCCUAGCCAAGAGACGCAAGGAUCGCCCCGGGUGGACGGCCAGGUCUCAGGCCACCCAGGAAAUGGAAGCGAGCCUGUCUGCGUGAGGACCACAGCGCAUGCGCCCACGCACUUGUGAUGCCGCAGCUCUGCCGGGGUUGAUGUCUCGCUCGCUGACCCGGCCACCCUGGGGACAGCUGCUUUCCCCAGCCAGCCGUGAGCUCUGGCCCCGGUCACCCCUCCGGCGUUCUGACUCUCUCUGAAGAGGGUUUUUUCCAAACCCUGAAGUGCGGCAGUUUUAUGGGCCAGCUGCACUACGUUCCCCUUUCAGAGUCAACCAAGACUGUUAAAUCACAGGAAAAGGCCGUCCAAGUUGCUCUGCGAGGACUCAGUCCGGCAACCGGCUGCUUUCCUCACUCUCCUCCAGCGCCGGUUCUCAGAGGAGCCGUUAGAAACCCAGCAAAGGAGACCUAGGUCACCCCGGCUGCCUUCCAGGGCCUGAUACUCGCCUGCCUCUGAAGCCUUUGUUGAGCCCUGGUCAUUUCCCGUGGCCUCUGGGCCCCCCAGCACACAGGUUAACGUGCAGCCCCUGUCCUCCGUGCACCACUUGUUUUUCUGUUUCUGUUUGGUGAAUGGUCUCAGGGCUUCUCCCUUUCCUGCUCCACCCCAGCUGGAAGCCUCUUUAUUAGCAGUUUGUUUGCAAGCUCAUGGUGGUCUGUGAACUUGUCUGAAAUUUCCUGGAAGGGAAACAACUGCUGCAGCCAGAACGUGAGCCCCAGAGGAACAUCCUGGCAGUCUCUCUUCAGACAAUGCUCAUCCAUGCUCUCUGGCCAUCCGUCCUUCCUUCGCCCUACACGCCACACACCUUGAGAACAUUGCAGCCCUCCGUUAAAAGUCUUCCAGAGAUCCUGACAAGGGAGAGAAGAUUUCUUCCCCUAAAAAUGUGCAGCAUGUGAUGGUGCCUCUUACGUGAUGGGUGUUGCCUUCCAUGAGGUUCCUUAAGGAGAAAUUAAGGAAUAAUUCCAGGUCAGCCACUAAGAAGCUUUCUAAAACAAUUUUACUGAAGUAGAGUUGAUUUACAAUGUUGUGUUUAGUUUCUGCUGUCCAGCAAAAUGAUUCAGUUAUAUGGAUAUACAUUCUUUUUCAUAUUCUUCCCCAUUAUAAUGUAUCAUGAGUACAUCAUUUAUCCUGAGUACAUCAUGAGAAAUGCUGGGCUGGAUGAAACACAAGCUGGAAUCAAGAUUGCUGGGAGAAAUAUCAAUAAUCUCAGAUAUGCAGAUGACACCACCCUUAUGGCAGAAAGCAAAGAGGAGCUUGAUGAAGGUGAAAGAGGAAAGUGAAAAUACUGACUUAAAACUCAGUAUUCAAAAAACUAAGAUCAUGGCAUCCUGUCCCAUCACUUCAAGGCAAAGAUAGGGAAACAAUGGAAACAGUGACAGACUUUAUUUUCUUGGGCUCCAAAAUCACUGCAGAUGGUGACUGCAGCCAUGAAAUUAAAAGAUGCUUGCUCCUUGGAAGAAAAGCUAUGGCCAACCUAGACAGCAUAUUAAAAAGCUGAGACAUUACAUUGCCAACAAAUGUCUGUCUAGUAAAGCUAUGGUUUUUCCAGUGGUCAUGUAUGGGUGUGAGAGGUGGACCAUAAAGAAGGCUGAGCACCAAACAAUUGAUGCUUUUGAACUGUGAUUUGGAGAAGACUCUUGAGAGUCACUUGGACUGCAAGGAGAUCAAAGCAGUCAAUUCUAAAGGAAUUCAGCCCUGCCUGAAUUUUCAUUGGUGGGACUGAAGCUGAAGCUUCAAUUAUUUGGCCACCUGAUGCGAAGAGCCAAUUCAUUAGAAAAGACCCUGAUGCUGGGAAAGAUUGAAGGCAGGAGAAGAAGGGGCAACAGAAGACAAGAUGAUUGGAUGGCAUCACUGACUCAGUGGACACGAGUUUGAGCAAGCUCUGGGAGAUGGUGAAAGACAGGGAAUCCUGGUGUGCUGCCAUCCAUGGGGUUGCAAAGAGUCGUACACGACUGAGCAACUGAACACAGCAAAGUGACUCAGUUAUAGAGAUAUACAUUCUUUUUCAUAUUCUUUCCCAUUAUGAUUUAUCACAGGUUACUGAAUAUAUAGCUCCCUGUGCUAUAC
This is a long non-coding RNA of Bos taurus (domestic cattle), 2677 nucleotides long. The record is from Ensembl. Lineage: Eukaryota; Metazoa; Chordata; Mammalia; Artiodactyla; Bovidae.